ACCCUGGUGGCGAGUGGCGAACGGGUGAGUAAUACAUCGGAACGUGCCCGGUAGUGGGGGAUAGCCCGGCGAAAGCCGGAUUAAUACCGCAUACGACCUACGGGUGAAAGCGGGGGACCGCAAGGCCUCGCGCUAUCGGAGCGGCCGAUGUCGGAUUAGCUUGUUGGUAGGGUAAAGGCCUACCAAGGCGACGAUCCGUAGCUGGUCUGAGAGGACGACCAGCCACACUGGGACUGAGACACGGCCCAGACUCCUACGGGAGGCAGCAGUGGGGAAUUUUGGACAAUGGGCGCAAGCCUGAUCCAGCCAUGCCGCGUGCGGGAAGAAGGCCCUCGGGUUGUAAACCGCUUUUGUCAGGGAAGAAACGCUUCGGGCUAAUACCUCGGAGUAAUGACGGUACCUGAAGAAUAAGCACCGGCUAACUACGUGCCAGCAGCCGCGGUAAUACGUAGGGUGCGAGCGUUAAUCGGAAUUACUGGGCGUAAAGCGUGCGCAGGCGG
This 500-nucleotide ribosomal RNA is filed under the name uncultured beta proteobacterium. RNAcentral describes it as "bacterial SSU rRNA". It matches the Rfam family "Bacterial small subunit ribosomal RNA", at positions 82 to 578 of the family's 1533-position model. Lineage: Bacteria; Pseudomonadati; Pseudomonadota; Betaproteobacteria. The record is from RNAcentral.